Molecule: transfer-messenger RNA, 356 nt
Filed under: Shewanellaceae
Lineage: Bacteria; Pseudomonadati; Pseudomonadota; Gammaproteobacteria; Alteromonadales
Also listed under: 1 other name
Description: Shewanella sp014163735 Standard tmRNA
Rfam family: transfer-messenger RNA
About the family: Bacterial tmRNA, also known as 10Sa RNA or SsrA, is named for its dual tRNA and mRNA-like properties. Its role is to liberate the mRNA from a stalled ribosome.
Source: RNAcentral
GGGGGCGAUUCUGGAUUCGACAGGAUUCACGAAACCCAAGGAGCAUGUCGAGGGGCGGUUGGCCUCGUAAAAAGCCGCACCGUUAUAGUUGCAAACGACUCUAACUACUCUCUAGCAGCUUAGGCUAGCUAGCCAUCAGCCACACGUUUCGCACGUGGACAGUGGAUCCUGAUGGUCAUAUUACAGUGUGCUAGCGAGGGAACUCCGUCCGGGGGUGAACCGCGAAACAGUACCGGACUCACCAAGUAGCAUCCUGUCUUUCGGAGACUGCUUGGUUAAAUAAAAGAGAGACUAAACAUGUAGCGCCGAGGAUGUAGGCUUUCUGGACGCGGGUUCAAGUCCCGCCGCCUCCACCA